GGCCUUGUAACUCAGUGGAAGAGUGCUCGUUUCCGAUGCGAGAAGUCCCAGGUUCGAACCCUGGCCGGGUCG
RNAcentral lists this transfer RNA (72 nucleotides) under Coemansia erecta. It matches the Rfam family "tRNA". Rfam says of the family: Transfer RNA (tRNA) molecules are approximately 80 nucleotides in length. Their secondary structure includes four short double-helical elements and three loops (D, anti-codon, and T loops). The record is from Rfam by way of RNAcentral. RNAcentral also lists the same sequence under 2 other names. Lineage: Eukaryota; Fungi; Kickxellomycota; Kickxellomycetes; Kickxellales; Kickxellaceae.